RNAcentral lists this ribosomal RNA (253 nucleotides) under uncultured bacterium. RNAcentral describes it as "partial 16S ribosomal RNA". It matches the Rfam family "Bacterial small subunit ribosomal RNA", at positions 524 to 776 of the family's 1533-position model. The record is from RNAcentral.
UACGAAGAGGGCUAGCGUUGCUCGGAAUUACUGGGCGUAAAGGGCGCGUAGGCGGCACUGUUAGUCAGGCGUGAAAUUCCUGGGCUCAACCUGGGGACUGCGCUUGAUACGGCAGAGCUUGAGGAUGGAAGAGGGUCGCGGAAUUCCCAGUGUAGAGGUGAAAUUCGUAGAUAUUGGGAAGAACACCGGUGGCGAAGGCGGCGACCUGGUCCAUUACUGACGCUGAGGCGCGACAGCGUGGGGAGCAAACAGG